This 705-nucleotide ribosomal RNA is filed under the name uncultured bacterium. RNAcentral describes it as "partial 16S ribosomal RNA". It matches the Rfam family "Bacterial small subunit ribosomal RNA", at positions 780 to 1482 of the family's 1533-position model. The record is from RNAcentral.
AGAUACCCCUGGGUAGUCCACGNNGUAAACGAUGGNUGNUGGNUGCUGGGAUGUAUGUCUCGGUGNNGUAGCUANNGCGAUAAGCANCCGCCUGGGGAGUACGGUCGCAAGGCUGAAACUCAAAGAAAUUGACGGGGGCCCGCACAAGCGGUGGAGUAUGUGGUUUAAUUCGAUGCAACGCGAAGAACCUUACCCAGGCUUGANANNUAGGGAACCCUUCGGAAAUGAAGGGGUGCCCUUNGGGGAGCCCUAAGACAGGUGCUGCAUGGCUGUNGUCAGCUCGUGCCGUGAGGUGUUGGGUUAAGUCCCGCAACGAGCGCAACCCCUAUCUUCAGUUGCCAGCAGGUAAGGCUGGGCACUCUGGAGAGACCGCCCCGGUCAACGGGGAGGAAGGUGGGGACGACGUCAAGUCAUCAUGGCCCUUACGCCUGGGGCUACACACGUACUACAAUGGCGCGCACAAAGGGUAGCGAGACCGCGAGGUGGAGCCAAUCCCAAAAAACGCGUCCCAGUCCGGAUUGGAGUCUGCAACUCGACUCCAUGAAGUCGGAAUCGCUAGUAAUUCGAGAUCAGCAUGCUCGGGUGAAUGCGUUCCCGGGCCUUGUACACACCGCCCGUCACACCACGAAAGUCGGUUUUACCCGAAGCCGGUGAGCUAACUCGCAAGAGAAGCAGCCGUCUACGGUAGGGCCGAUGAUUGGGGUG